UAGAAUAAUAAUAUAUGCACAUAAACUAAGCAUAACAUAUAUGUAAUAUUUGUCGCUGGGUAUAAGACAUACAUCAGUAUCAUCAUCAUCAUCAUAGGUAUUCAAUCUUGAGGCUAAAUCUUCGUUGUAUGUACUAUAGCGUGAGACUUCUUCGUCGUAAUUAUUAUAGAUUGAAGCUAAAUUCUUAUCUGAAAUUUUAGCCAAGUUAUGUCGAGAACUCAUUUUACGCAUUCAUCUCUUUGCUAAAUUGGUUUUGUAAAUGUCCAAGUUAAGGCCCAUGGAGAUCAUAGAAGUAUUUUCAACAAAUGACCAUGUCUACUCAUAAUUAAAACAGUAAGCAAAGGAUUGACUCGUCCGAGUUAAACGAACCACAAAAACAGCAAUUACUAGUAUUUCCAAAUAAACUUCAUGUGCCGAUCUUAAAUUAUUCACAGCUACUGAUUACUAUCUUAAAAACAACUACAACUAAUAAUCCAGUCUAGAAUAUUAAUCAAUUAUUUCGUACUGUUAGACUGGCCACUGUGCAGUAUGGGCUUUGCUCAUUGUUGAAGGCCGUAUGAUGACCUAUAGUUGUUAAUUUCUGUGUCAUUUGGUCUCUUGUGAAGAGUUGUUUCAUUACAAAUCAUACAAGAUCUUCUUUUUUGAACAUAUCACAAAUUAAGUAUAAAAAAGUUAAUAAAGUCUUGAAAAGCAAGACCUUUUGUCAUGACAAUAGCACAGAGUGUCCGUAGGACCAUUAGUGUUCAUAACUAUAUGGCAUAGUAUACGUAGUUUCUUUAAAAUGUAAUAUAAUUUAUCGGCAAAAU
Molecule: long non-coding RNA, 806 nt
Filed under: Mytilus galloprovincialis (Mediterranean mussel)
Lineage: Eukaryota; Metazoa; Mollusca; Bivalvia; Mytilida; Mytilidae
Source: RNAcentral